This 493-nucleotide ribosomal RNA is filed under the name Acanthodactylus busacki. RNAcentral describes it as "partial 16S ribosomal RNA". It matches the Rfam family "Bacterial large subunit ribosomal RNA", at positions 1853 to 2607 of the family's 2925-position model. Lineage: Eukaryota; Metazoa; Chordata; Lepidosauria; Squamata; Lacertidae. The record is from RNAcentral.
UGUCGCCUGCCCAGUGAAACUUUAACGGCCGCGGUAUCCUAACCGUGCAAAGGUAGCAUAAUCACUUGUCCUCUAAAUAAGGACUAGAAUGAAUGGCUAAAUGAAGACUAGACUGUCUCUUGUAGAUCGCCUAUGAAACUGAUCUUUUAGUUAAAAAGCUAAAAUUUAACCACAAGACGAGAAGACCCUGUGGAGCUUAAAACCAGACUCAUAUGAUGACCCCCCGGUUUUUAGUUGGGGCGACUUCGGAGCAUAAAAAACCCUCCGACUGUAAUACUGCUUAGUAGAUUGACAAAUCAAAAUGCACUUAGACCCAGUAGCCAAUAACUAACUGACUAAUGAACCAAGUUACCCCAGGGAUAACAGCGCCAUCCUCUUCUAGAGUCCCUAUCGACAAGAGGGCUUACGACCUCGAUGUUGGAUCAGGACACCCUAAUAGUGCAACCGCUAUUGAAGGUUCGUUUGUUCAACGAUUAAAGUCCUACGUGAUCUG